GACGGUCUGAAGCCGUGAUUUGCUAACCUUUGACUGAAGACAACAGCCCUGGAAGCAUGGCCACGUAUGGCAUCCCUGUUGUUACAAAUGAGGACACUGAGGCACGGAGAAGUGAAGUAGCCCUCCCAAGAUCCCAUGCUGCUGUCACGACUGAACUGCCUUGGUGACCACAGCGACCUGGCAUCGCUCGCUAUGUACCUGUCCUGACACAGAGGAGCGGCCCCAUAUCCCUGAGUGAAUGAACUAAUGCAGUAGACACCGUGAUAGUCCGACUCAAGGCCUGCACCUUCUGCCCUGGUGGCUGCUGUGGAGCUGUCCUCAGUGCUGAUUUCCGCCCCCU
Tupaia belangeri chinensis (Chinese tree shrew) is the source of this 340-nucleotide long non-coding RNA. RefSeq lists it as uncharacterized. The transcript has 3 exons. The record is from RefSeq and is a predicted model, not a curated record. Lineage: Eukaryota; Metazoa; Chordata; Mammalia; Scandentia; Tupaiidae.